UACAGAGGUCUCAAGCGUUGUUCGGAUUCAUUGGGCGUAAAGGGUGCGUAGGUGGCGCUGUAAGUCGGGUGUGAAAUUUCGGAGCUUAACUCCGAAACUGCAUUCGAUACUGCGGUGCUUGAGGACUGGAGAGGAGACUGGAAUUCAUGGUGUAGCAGUGAAAUGCGUAGAGAUCAUGAGGAAGACCAGUGGCGAAGGCGGGUCUCUGGACAGUUCCUGGCACUGAGGCACGAAGACCAGGGGAGCAAACGGG
This 253-nucleotide ribosomal RNA is filed under the name uncultured bacterium. Its description in RNAcentral is "partial 16S ribosomal RNA". It matches the Rfam family "Bacterial small subunit ribosomal RNA", at positions 524 to 776 of the family's 1533-position model. The record is from RNAcentral.